Beta vulgaris subsp. vulgaris (sugar beet) is the source of this 119-nucleotide non-coding RNA. NCBI's taxonomy places the organism in Eukaryota, Viridiplantae, Streptophyta, Magnoliopsida, Caryophyllales, Amaranthaceae. The record is from Rfam.
GAGUUCGACCAUACCAGCACUAAUACACCUUAUCCCGUCAGAACUCCGCAGUUAAGCGUGCUUGAGCGAGAGUAGUACUAGGUUAGGUGACCUAUUAGGAAGUCCUCGUGUUGCACCCC